AUACCUUGGGCAAGUGGACUGUCGAUGGGGAGCAGUAUGCUGCUGACCACCACAUUGAAAAUAAUGCCAUUUCCAUUUACCACCCGGAAUGUCUUCAAGAUAUGGCCAAUGACCUGAGACUACCGCCUGCUAUCGCUUUACCUUUUUUUUACAUGAAUCAAAUUGCUAUGUAUCAAUCUCAAAAACAUUUAUGCAUUGAAGUAAAAUUUGGCAAAUAUUUUUCUUGAAAUAUUCUUUGAAAUAAAGCUAAAUGAGCAUUGCAG
Molecule: non-coding RNA, 263 nt
Organism: Pseudonaja textilis
Lineage: Eukaryota; Metazoa; Chordata; Lepidosauria; Squamata; Elapidae
Source: RefSeq, a predicted model, not a curated record